Molecule: transfer RNA, 73 nt
Filed under: bacterium
Lineage: Bacteria
Also listed under: 1 other name
Description: tRNA-Lys
Rfam family: tRNA
About the family: Transfer RNA (tRNA) molecules are approximately 80 nucleotides in length. Their secondary structure includes four short double-helical elements and three loops (D, anti-codon, and T loops).
Source: RNAcentral
GGGCGUUUAGCUCAGUUGGUAGAGCAGCUGACUCUUAAUCAGCGGGUCACGGGUUCGAAUCCUGUAACGCCCA